UACGAAGGGGGCUAGCGUUGUUCGGAGUUACUGGGCGUAAAGGGCGCGUAGGCGGCUGUCCAAGUCGGGUGUGAAAGCCCAGGGCUCAACCCUGGAUGUGCACUCGAGACUGGCCGGCUAGAGGAUGGGAGAGGAUGGUGGAAUUCCCAGUGUAGAGGUGAAAUUCGUAGAUAUUGGGAAGAACACCGGUGGCGAAGGCGGCCAUCUGGACCAUUUCUGACGCUGAGGCGCGAAAGCUAGGGGAGCAAACAGG
Molecule: ribosomal RNA, 253 nt
Filed under: uncultured bacterium
Lineage: Bacteria
Description: partial 16S ribosomal RNA
Rfam family: Bacterial small subunit ribosomal RNA
Source: RNAcentral